This 528-nucleotide ribosomal RNA is filed under the name uncultured Adhaeribacter sp. RNAcentral describes it as "bacterial SSU rRNA". It matches the Rfam family "Bacterial small subunit ribosomal RNA", at positions 378 to 906 of the family's 1533-position model. Lineage: Bacteria; Pseudomonadati; Bacteroidota; Cytophagia; Cytophagales; Hymenobacteraceae. The record is from RNAcentral.
GAAACCUGACAGCCAUGCCGCGUGCAGGAUGAAGGCCUUCUGGGUUGUAAACUGCCUUUUAUCUGGGAAAAAAAACGCCCAUGCGUGGGAAACUGACGGUACUAGAUGAAUAAGCACCGGCUAACUCCGUGCCAGCAGCCGCGGUUAAUACGGAGGGUGCAAGCGUUGUCCGGAUUUAUUGGGUUUAAAGGGUGCGUAGGCGGCCCGUUAAGUCCGUGGUGAAAGCCUCCAGCUCAACUGGAGAACUGCCAUGGAUACUGGCGGGCUUGAGUACAGACGAGGUUGGCGGAAUUGAUUGUGUAGCGGUGAAAUGCAUAGAUACAAUCAAGAACUCCGAUUGCGUAGGCAGCUUACUAGGCUGUAACUGACGCUGAGGCACGAAAGCGUGGGGAGCGAACAGGAUUAGAUACCCUGGUAGUCCACGCUGUAAACGAUGAUUACUCGAUGUUGGCGAUAAACUGUCAGCGUCUUAGCGAAAGCGUUAAGUAAUCCACCUGGGGAGUACGCCCGCAAGGGUGAAACUCAAAG